GUUAAGUUCCUGUUGCCGCUCCCUGCUGCACUCACAGCUGCCGGCGACUGCACCUCGACUUUUACUACUGCUAUUGCUUUGUUCUGAUCAAGCUUCAGUCACCGACGAUUGGCUAGCCGCCAUUUCUGUGCAUCUGCUGCCGCUCAUCUCAAUCACUGUUGUCGUUCCUUUGUCGUCACAUCAAGUUUCAGCCUAGCCAACCGCCGUUCCUUUACUGCCGAGAUCAAACACCAUUUCUCUCACUUCUCUUUCUCAGUACAGGCUUGAAAAUGCCUAUCGGGACUCUGUUUUUUGUAGCUACUCUGGAAUAUUUAAGUGGAAUCAUGUGUUGUGCUUAUCAUUCAAUCACUAGCAGCCAAUGUCGGGGUUGUCGCGGAUAUCAGUGCUUCAGUUGAUUGGCUUAAGGAAAAUGGUUCCAAGAAGGUUGGCAUGGUUGGAUAUUGCAUGGGAAGUGCUCUCACUAUUGCAUGUUCUGCCAGGUUCUGCUUCCACCCUUUUUUAACAUUAAAAUUGAUGUGGGCAUUUUAAUUUUUUUUUACUUGGAGACUCCCUAAUUAAGAAUAAAAAUUUUAAUCAGAUGCAUGCCUACAAUAUCUGGAUCCAUAUGAUGUGAGAUGUGUUCUGAGGGAUCAUAUUGGAAGGAAUUUUUUUUUCAAUUAACGGGUGAAUGACAAUGGAAUACGGUCUACUAAAGAAAGGUGUUUGGUGCCCGAAAACACUUUGAUCUUUGUGAGUAAUUUCCAACACAUUGUUGAAUAGUAAACUUGUUUUUACAGCCCAAGUCUACGGAAUUCUCAAGAUGAUCAUUAAAGGUGCAUGCUUGAGUUGAAUAAUUGCUAGCUAUCUGGCAAUGCAUGUAUGACAUAAUUUGACCCCUCUAACAAUACUUUAAGGCUUGAUGACUUUUAUAAUAUUUAAAGAAUUGAUUAAAAGUCUCGAAUCUCCAAUGAAUUUUGAAUUAUUUGGAAAUGAAAGGUAAAAUUCAAAAAGAGGGCAAAAUUUGACCUCUCCAACAAUACUUUAGGACUUGAUGACUUUUACAGUAUUUAAAAUAACCUCCAGAGAUUUUUAGUGGCUAUUUUUACUGUAAAAUAGCCUUGCAGAUUUCCAGGGGCUGUUUUAAGUCAAAGCAACUCCCAAAAUUUUUUUUAGCUAGUUUGCAUUGAAAAUAUUUCUGAAGAUCGUUGAGGAAGGAGGGGAAUGAGAGCAAUAGUUUUUAGAAGGCUUAAUGAUGAAUUUGAUAAAUGUGACAUUUGUUAUGGGACUAAAGUGAAAGAAGUUUAUGUUGAGGCUAAAAGCUUGAGUGAGCUAAUGGAUAUUUUGAUUGCUUUUGGAUAAAAAUUAAGAAAUUGGAAGGAGUUCUGUACAAUUCUAUGUAAUUCAAGCUUAAAGAACAAAAACAUGAAAGCAAGUUGAUUUUCAAACUUGUUGUUGAGUAUAUACAUCUUUAAUAGCAUAGGCUAAUUUGUUAAUGAACAUUGUAAGUUGAUGAUGAGAUAUCUUAUCUUUCUUUUAUUCAAUAUAUGUGGCAUUAUUUUUGAAGUUUAACAAUAUUAAUCUUGUGAUUAACAGUUUAAUGGAGAGAAAGCAUACAUUCAGGAUGAACUAGAUGAGGUUCAUUUGGAGUGGGCUAACCAUUCUUCCAAAAUCCUUGUUUAUAGCUGGACUUUGUUGUUAGUUGUUACAAUUUGUUGAAAUUAAAGUUGUAAUGUCAAACUAUAUUGGUUCUGUUAAGGAUUGUAGUAUAAAUGCUAUGCAUUUGAUAACAUUGGGUAUUUUGAUUGAUUCUACAUAGAUUGGGUUGCUGGAUAUGGGUUGGAGUGUUGCUAGGUAUAUGGCUAGAAUUAGAGUGCUGUUGGAAGAUGGUAUUGCUGCUAGAAGUUUUGGAGGAAGUCAUGCUAGAAGUCUUCUUGUUGGAAUAUUUGCAUUAAUCGUUGGAAGUUUUGUUUGGUAACUUCGCUUGGUAGCUACAAUUUUAAUUGUUUUUCUUAGAGUUUGAUUGAAAUUUAACUGUUAUUUUAUACUUUGAAAUGGUUUUUUUUUCAAUUUGGAAAUUUUUAUUAUGUAUUAGUGGUGAUCACAUUGGAUAUUAGAUAUAUUUCUUUUAAAAUUAAUUUGUUGCAUUGAAUGGAUGUUAAUUAAUAUUAAUUGUUUUUAGUUUUUUUUAUGAUAUUCAUUUUAUUAAUUAAUUAAAUUUGUAAAUAGGAAUUCAUCAACAAAUUCUAAUUAUAAUAUAUUUUUUUUAAAUCAAAAUUUU
RNAcentral lists this long non-coding RNA (2257 nucleotides) under Citrus x clementina. RNAcentral describes it as "Citrus clementina (C. clementina) long non-coding RNA (CCLE_LNC000977)". Lineage: Eukaryota; Viridiplantae; Streptophyta; Magnoliopsida; Sapindales; Rutaceae. The record is from RNAcentral.